Molecule: transfer RNA, 73 nt
Filed under: Felis catus (domestic cat)
Lineage: Eukaryota; Metazoa; Chordata; Mammalia; Carnivora; Felidae
Also listed under: 1 other name
Rfam family: tRNA
About the family: Transfer RNA (tRNA) molecules are approximately 80 nucleotides in length. Their secondary structure includes four short double-helical elements and three loops (D, anti-codon, and T loops).
Source: Rfam by way of RNAcentral
GCCUGGCUGGCUCAGUUGGUGGAGCAUGCAACUCUUGAUCUCAUGGUUGUGAGUUUGAGCCCCACGUUGGGUG